AAUGGCUGCAGUAAUUUGACUGUACAAAGGUAGCAUAAUCAUUAGUUUUUUAAUUAAAAGCUUGUAUGAAAGGUUGGACGAAAUAAAAUCUGUCUCUUUUUAAUAUAAUUAGAAUUUAAUUUUUAAGUUAAAAAGCUUAAAUAGAUUUAAAAGACGAGAAGACCCUAUAGAGUUUAAUAAUUUUUUUUUAUUAAUUAAUUUAGAUUUAUUUAUUUUAUUUUAAAAAAAUUAUUUUAUUGGGGUAAUAGAAAGAUUUAAAUAAUUCUUUUUUAAUUAAAUCAUUAAUUUAUGAAAAUUUAUGAUCCAUUGAAUUUUGAUUAUAAGAUUAAAUUACCUUAGGGAUAACAGCGUAAUUUUUUUUAAGAGUUCAUAUCGAUAAAAAAGUUUGCGACCUCGAUGUUGGAUUAAAGAUUAGUUUAGGUGUAGAAGUUUAAAUUUUUGGUCUGUUCGACCAUUGAAUCUUUACAUGAUCUGAGUUCAAACCGGUGUAAGCCAGGUUGGUUUCUAUCUUUAAAAAGAUUUGAUAUUUUAGUACGAAAGGACCAAAUAUUAUAUAUAUAAAUAUUUAAAUUAUUGAAUAUU
Molecule: ribosomal RNA, 582 nt
Filed under: Trechus zaerensis
Lineage: Eukaryota; Metazoa; Arthropoda; Insecta; Coleoptera; Carabidae
Description: partial 16S ribosomal RNA
Rfam family: Bacterial large subunit ribosomal RNA (bases 341-499)
Source: RNAcentral